AUUCUUUCGAUGGUAGGAUAGAGGCCUACCAUGGUGGUAACGGGUAACGGGGUGUUAGGGCACGACACCGGAGAGGGAGCCUGAGAAACGGCUACCACAUCCAAGGAUGGCAGCAGGCGCGCAAAUUACCCAAUCCCGACACGGGGAGGUAGUGACAAUAAAUAACAAUACGGGGUUCUUUUGGAUCUCGUAAUUGGAAUGAGUACAAUUUAAAUCUCUUAACGAGGAACAAUUGGAGGGCAAGUCUGGUGCCAGCAGCCGCGGUAAUUCCAGCUCCAAUAGCGUAUACUAAAGUUGUUGCAGUUAAAAAGCUCGUAGUUGAAUUUCGGGAUCAGUAGGUUGGUCAUGCCUAUGGUAUGUACUGGCUUUACUGGUUCCUCCUUCUUGAUGAUCUGUAAUGUCAUUAAUUUGGUGUUGCAGGGAGUCAGGACUGUUACUUUGAAAAAAUUAGAGUGUUUAAAGCAGGCAUACGCUUGAAUACAUUAGCAUGGAAUAAUGAAAUAGGACGUUCGAUCCUAUUUUGUUGGUUUCUAGGAUCGAUGUAAUGAUUAAUAGGGAUAGUUGGGGGCAUUAGUAUUCAAUUGUCAGAGGUGAAAUUCUUGGAUUUAUUGAAGACUAACUACUGCGAAAGCAUUUGCCAAGGAUGUUUUCAUUAAUCAAGAACGAGAGUUAGGGGAUCGAAGACGAUCAGAUACCGUCGUAGUCUUAACCAUAAACUAUGCCGACUAGGAAUCGGGCGAUGUUGAAAAAAUGACGCGCUCGGCACCUCAUGGGAAACCAAAGUGUUUGGGUUC
RNAcentral lists this ribosomal RNA (794 nucleotides) under uncultured Glomus. RNAcentral's name for it is "SSU rRNA". It matches the Rfam family "Eukaryotic small subunit ribosomal RNA", at positions 317 to 1114 of the family's 1831-position model. The record is from RNAcentral. Lineage: Eukaryota; Fungi; Glomeromycota; Glomeromycetes; Glomerales; Glomeraceae.